UAUUCCAAGAGUAUAACGUUGAACAAAUGCUCUGAUGUCUUAUUGGUUGUGUUAUUGCAGCAGCAUCAAGAAAUGAACUCCAUGAACAGAGCACUGAUCAAUACCAAUUUGCAGAAAUGCUCUAUAAAUGUUUGAAAGGUCAAAGAUAUUCGAUAGUGAUUGAUGAUAUAUGGAACACUACUGCUUGAGAUAGUGUGCAAAGAUGUUUUCCAGAUGAUAAUAAUGGAAGUUGUAUACUAUUGACUUCUCGGCUCAAAGAAGUGGCUAAAUAUGCUAGCUCAGGUAACUCUAUCAUUAACCUGCCUUUCUUAGAUGCCGAUGAUAGUUGAAGUCUCUACUGCAAAUGUUUAUAGUUACGUGAAUACAAGUAUUUGCAAGAGAUCCCUAGUGGUUUUGUGGAUAUCACCACACUAGCAUUAAUGCAAUUAAACGACUGUCGGGGAAUUCCAUUUUCGCUUCUGCAAAGUGGAUUCAAGAUGAGCAACUCAACAACUAUGGAAAUUCCAUCCUUGUUGGUUCUGAAAGUAUUAGCCUAAAAUGAAGAAUGUAAUGAGCAGGAAGAGAGUGAUGAAGGAGAAAUUGUUUGAAGACAAAAUUCGAAGCCCUCUUGAAUGGGCAUAAUGGUUAGCUGUGGAUGCUUUGGAGGAUUAGGCAACAAGUUGGGUGAAUACUCUGUUAUAUAUUUUGGUGAGCUCAAAUAUAUGGUUUCAUGUUUAAACUGUGUUAUGGUUCUGAUUUUUUUUGUUUUUGUUUUUUUUUUUUUAAUAUAAAAUGGAUAAUGCCAUUUAACUCAUUUCUUAAGAUUAUAAUUCUUUAAGCGAUUUCUUAU
Molecule: long non-coding RNA, 829 nt
Organism: Ipomoea nil (Japanese morning glory)
Lineage: Eukaryota; Viridiplantae; Streptophyta; Magnoliopsida; Solanales; Convolvulaceae
Exons: 2
Source: RefSeq, a predicted model, not a curated record